AACGAACGCUGACGGCGUGGUUCAGGCAUGCAAGUCGAACGGUUUAGAUUUAUCUAAAUAGUGGCAAACGGAUGAGUAACACGUAGAUUGCCUACCCUAAACUUGAGGACAACACUGUGAAAACGGUGCUAAUACUGAAUGUGAUCUCCGGAUUAAAGGUGGCCUCUUCUUGAAAGCUGCCGGUUUGGGAUGGGUCUGCGCCCUAUUAGCUUGUUGGUGAGGUAAAAGCUCACCAAGGCAACGAUGGGUACCCGGGCUGAGAGGCUGGUCGGGCAUAUUGGAACUGAGAUACUGUCCAA
Molecule: ribosomal RNA, 299 nt
Filed under: uncultured bacterium
Lineage: Bacteria
Description: partial 16S ribosomal RNA
Rfam family: Bacterial small subunit ribosomal RNA
Source: RNAcentral